This 440-nucleotide ribosomal RNA is filed under the name uncultured bacterium. RNAcentral's name for it is "partial 16S ribosomal RNA". It matches the Rfam family "Bacterial small subunit ribosomal RNA", at positions 338 to 795 of the family's 1533-position model. The record is from RNAcentral.
CCUACGGGUGGCAGCAGUGGGGAAUAUUGCACAAUGGGGGAAACCCUGAUGCAGCGAAGCCGCGUGAGUGAAGAAGCGCCUCGGCGCGUAAAGCUCUGUCAGCAGGAGAGAUAAUGACGGUACCUGAAGCAGAAGCCCCGGCUAAAUACGUGCCAGCAGCCGCGGUAAUACGUAGGGAGCAGGCGUUAUCCGGAUUUACUGGGUGUAAAGGGAGCGUAGACGGCGGGGCAAGUCUGGAGUGAGAGGCCGGGGCCCAACCCCGGGACCGCGGUUGAAACCGCCCGGCUGGAGUGCGGGAGAGGUAAGCGGAAUGCCGAGUGUAGCGGUGAAAUGCGUAGAUAUUAGGAGGAACACCAGCGGCGAAGGCGGCGUACCGGACCGUGACUGACGUUGAGGCUCGAAAGCGUGGGGAGCGAACAGGAUUAGAUACCCCUGUAGUC